Long non-coding RNA from Equus caballus (horse), 1547 nucleotides. NCBI's taxonomy places the organism in Eukaryota, Metazoa, Chordata, Mammalia, Perissodactyla, Equidae. The record is from Ensembl.
GGCCAGCCCUGACUCAGAGCGAGAGUAGACUAUGUAAGAAAGUGAAUAUCAUGGGGUAAGGAUUACCGGGGGCCUUCUUGGAGACUACAUACUAUAAAAAUAAGGGAAAUAUGGUUAGGAAGGGAGCAGUACUUCUCCGUUAAGUAACAAGAGAUGGAAGAUAUCUUAAGAUUAGUAUAUUGAGACCGUUGGAACAAGUCAGGGAAAUAAUUACAAAGAAAGGGUCUCAGGAACCUAACGUCUACAUCCGGACAGAAGAAAAAGAAUGAUGGCCCCCAGCAGAGCCUAGUUCCUUUGGAUAUAUUUUAGAAAAGUAGAAUAUGGAGGAGAAAAAGCUGAAGGACUGGCAAUGCAGGAUUUGCUCUAGGCUCUUCCUCAGAGCUGAGGUUCCAGAGGGAUCUUUCACAUUUCCUAGAGAGGCUUCCUGUAGGUCACUGCACUCAUUUCAUCAAAAUGGAAAGAGAUCCAGGGGCUCAAGGAAGAUACUCUUUAUUGAUUGAUUGAUUGAUUGAUUGAUUGAUUUUUGCUGAGGAAGAUUUGCCUGGAGCUAACAUCUGUUGCCAAUCUUCCUCUAUUUUGUAUGUAAGCCGGUGUCACAGCAAGGCCACUGACAGACGAACCUUGUAAGUCCGCACCUGGGAACUAAGUCCCCCAAAGCAGAGUGCACCAAACUUAACCACUAGGCCACCAGGGAUGGCCUGGAAGAUACCCUUUAAUAGUAAAACUAACAAAAGUAGUAAACCAGUAAACCUUGUGCAUUGGGAAAACUUGUGAACUUCGUGGAUGUGGCACAGGAUGAAAAACAGUAACUAGAUUGACACCACAUGACUGUUCCUUAUACCAGGUCUGCGCUCUUACAUAGCUGGACCCUCUGUAAACAAGAAUCCUAUCAGCACUACCGGGGCCACCACUGCAUGAAGACAGGGAGGAGGGAAACUAAUUACUGUUGAGGACUUAACAUGUGCCAGGCACUGGGUUAAGUGUUUUCUACACACUGAUCAUUUAACACAAUUCUCCAUAUUUCGCAAAGGUGAAACUGAGGCUUGGAAUAGUUAAAGGCAUCACGGUCUGCUAAUUGUUCCCCAAUAUCCAUUUGUUCCUUCUCCCUUUUAAUACUGGAACCUCCGUAGUUUUAGCUGGGUACACAGCUGACAAACUGGUGACCACAAUUCUUAACCUCCUCUGCAGGUGGGGAUGGCCAGGUGAUUCAGUAAUAGUCAAUGGAAUGUGAGUUGAAUUGAUGUGUGUAAGUUGUAGGUCAUGCCUUUCAAAGCCAUGCCUUCCACUGCGCUAUGUUGCCUCCAUUCCCAGCUGGCAGGAACGGAGAUGUGGUGUUGAGUCAGCUUCCACGAUGCGGAUAACACGCCACCUGAUGGCAUGGCAAAGCCCACGUCUCAGAUGACCACACGAAGCUGCUUACCAGCUUGGACUGCCUGCCAACUUGGACUUUGAAGUACUCACGCUCUCCAGGGCUAAGCAUAGAAAACAAAAGAGCAGGAGGAUAGGGAAAGAAAAUCUCAAAAUGGUGGAAAAUGCCAACAUCUCUU